UCACUGUGUUAGAGGUGUUUUAGUCCUUACUUUCACAUUCUCAGAGCGCUGACUGAACACAGAGAAGAAGGGAAGAGGAAAAGAUUCUGAAUAAUGGGGGCCUGGGUGUCUAUAAGGAACCAAACCCCUUACACUUGGCACUACGAACUUGUCGGAGWCGGAGGUGGCAGUGGCACGUUGAAUAGCUGGGGUAGUGUACAAAGASAACUCAACAWWAGYUGG
This is a non-coding RNA of Salvelinus sp. IW2-2015, 222 nucleotides long. The record is from RefSeq and is a predicted model, not a curated record. Lineage: Eukaryota; Metazoa; Chordata; Actinopteri; Salmoniformes; Salmonidae.